GAUGAACGCUGGCGGCGUGCCUAAUACAUGCAAGUCGAGCGAACGGACGAGAAGCUUGCUUCUCUGAUGUUAGCGGCGGACGGGUGAGUAACACGUGGAUAACCUACCUAUAAGACUGGGAUAACUUCGGGAAACCGGAGCUAAUACCGGAUAAUAUUUUGAACCGCAUGGUUCAAAAGUGAAAGACGGUCUUGCUGUCACUUAUAGAUGGAUCCGUGCUGCAUUAGCUAGUUGGUAAGGUAACGGCUUACCAGGGCAACGAUGCAUAGCCGACCUGAGAGGGUGAUCGGCCACACUGGAACUGAGACACGGUCCAGACUCCUACGGGAGGCAGCAGUAGGGAAUCUUCCGCAAUGGGCGAAAGCCUGACGGAGCAACGCCGCGUGAGUGAUGAAGGUCUUCGGAUCGUAAAACUCUGUUAUUAGGGAAGAACAUAUGUGUAAGUAACUGUGCACAUCUUGACGGUACCUAAUCAGAGAGCCACGGCUAACUACGUGCCAGCAGCCGCGGUAAUACGUAGGUGGCAAGCGUUAUCCGGAAUUAUUGGGCGUAAAGCGCGCGUAGGCGGUUUUUUAAGUCUGAUGUGAAAGCCCACGGCUCAACCGUGGAGGGUCAUUGGAAACUGGAAAACUUGAGUGCAGAAGAGGAAAGUGGAAUUCCAUGUGUAGCGGUGAAAUGCGCAGAGAUAUGGAGGAACACCAGUGGCGAAGGCGACUUUCUGGUCUGUAACUGACGCUGAUGUGCGAAAGCGUGGGGAUCAAACAGGAUUAGAUACCCUGGUAGUCCACGCCGUAAACGAUGAGUGCUAAGUGUUAGGGGGUUUCCGCCCCUUAGUGCUGCAGCUAACGCAUUAAGCACUCCGCCUGGGGAGUACGACCGCAAGGUUGAAACUCAAAGGAAUUGACGGGGACCCGCACAAGCGGUGGAGCAUGUGGUUUAAUUCGAAGCAACGCGAAGAACCUUACCAAAUCUUGACAUCCUUUGACAACUCUAGAGAUAGAGCUUUCCCCUUCGGGGGACAAAGUGACAGGUGGUGCAUGGUUGUCGUCAGCUCGUGUCGUGAGAUGUUGGGUUAAGUCCCGCAACGAGCGCAACCCUUAAGCUUAGUUGCCAUCAUUAAGUUGGGCACUCUAAGUUGACUGCCGGUGACAAACCGGAGGAAGGUGGGGAUGACGUCAAAUCAUCAUGCCCCUUAUGAUUUGGGCUACACACGUGCUACAAUGGACAAUACAAAGGGCAGCGAAACCGUGAGGUCAAGCAAAUCCCAUAAAGUUGUUCUCAGUUCGGAUUGUAGUCUGCAACUCGACUACAUGAAGCUGGAAUCGCUAGUAAUCGUAGAUCAGCAUGCUACGGUGAAUACGUUCCCGGGUCU
RNAcentral lists this ribosomal RNA (1372 nucleotides) under uncultured bacterium. Its description in RNAcentral is "bacterial SSU rRNA". It matches the Rfam family "Bacterial small subunit ribosomal RNA", at positions 28 to 1381 of the family's 1533-position model. The record is from RNAcentral.